GAUGAACCCUGGCGGCGUGCCUAACACAUGCAAGUCGAGCGAACCUUUCGGGGUGAGCGGCGGACGGGUGAGUAACGCGUGGGUGACCUGCCCUAUACACACGGAUAACGUACCGAAAGGUACGCUAAUACGGGAUAAAGUUGUUGGAUGGCAUCUUCUAACAAUCAAAGCUCCGGCGGUAUAGGAUGGACCCGCGUCUGAUUAGCUAGUUGGUGAGGUAAUGGCUCACCAAGGCGACGAUCAGUAGCCGACCUGAGAGGGUGAUCGGCCACACUGGAACUGAGACACGGUCCAGACUCCUACGGGGGGCAGCAGUGGGGAAUAUUGCACAAUGGGCGAAAGCCUGAUGCAGCAACGCCGCGUGAGCGAUGAAGGUCUUCGGAUCGUAAAGCUCUGUCCUCAAGGAAGAUAAUGACGGUACUUGAGGAGGAAGCCCCGGCUAACUACGUGCCAGCCGCCGCGGUAA
Molecule: ribosomal RNA, 466 nt
Filed under: uncultured bacterium
Lineage: Bacteria
Description: partial 16S ribosomal RNA
Rfam family: Bacterial small subunit ribosomal RNA
Source: RNAcentral